RNAcentral lists this small RNA (127 nucleotides) under Marmota monax (woodchuck). The record is from RNAcentral. Lineage: Eukaryota; Metazoa; Chordata; Mammalia; Rodentia; Sciuridae.
ACUGGGCAUGGUGGUGCAUGCCUGUAAUCCCAGCAACCCAAGAGGCUGAGGCAGGAGAAUCACAAGUUCAAAGCCAAGCUCAGCAAUUUAGUGAGCCCCUAAGCAACCAAAUGAGACCCUGUCUCAA